GUCCACGCCCUAAACGAUGUCGACUAGUUGUUGGGGAAGGUAACUUCCUUAGUAACGUAGCUAACGCGCGAAGUCGACCGCCUGGGGAGUACGGCCGCAAGGUUAAAACUCAAAGGAAUUGACGGGGACCCGCACAAGCGGUGGAUGAUGUGGAUUAAUUCGAUGCAACGCGAAAAACCUUACCUACCCUUGACAUGCUAGGAACCCUGCUGAGAGGCGGGGGUGCCCGAAAGGGAGCCUAGACACAGGUGCUGCAUGGCUGUCGU
Molecule: ribosomal RNA, 266 nt
Filed under: uncultured bacterium
Lineage: Bacteria
Description: partial 16S ribosomal RNA
Rfam family: Bacterial small subunit ribosomal RNA
Source: RNAcentral